This 1005-nucleotide long non-coding RNA is filed under the name Prunus dulcis (almond). RNAcentral describes it as "sRNA ncRNA". Lineage: Eukaryota; Viridiplantae; Streptophyta; Magnoliopsida; Rosales; Rosaceae. The record is from RNAcentral.
GCCAACCCAUCGUCACCCACACUAGUCAGUGAAUGGUGUGCUUCCCGGGGUUUGAAUAGACAUUCCCUCGCAAGCAAAAGAUUGUUCUAUGCAAAAAGAUUGUCUAUGCCAACCCCGGGAAGAACACCAUUCACCCACUCCCGCCCCGUGUGGAGUGGCGGUGAUUGGAUAGCUACGGAUUGAGCAAUUGCCAUGGAUCAAAAUGUGUCAUUUGGAAGGAUUUUUGUCAAAAAGUUUUUAAAAUCUCGUGGGUUUGUAAAUCAUAGGAGUAUCACUUUCAACGUCCCCGGUAUUGGGUUGAGUUUCUAAAAACAACCGUGCACACCGAGGUUAAACUUACCGGGUCCGCUCCGAAAACAUUUGUUUUUCAUUUUGAUGAAAAUUUCUGAUUUUAAAACGCUUUGGUUUGAAAUUGUUUUGAAAAGGUUCUUUAAAUCUUGUGGGUUUGCAACUCGUAGGAGCAUCACUUUCAACGUCCCCGGUAUUGGAUUGAGUUUCUAAAACAACCGUGCACACCGAGGUUAAACUUUACCGGGUCCGCUCCGACUCGCCGCUCACCCACACUAUUCCGAAGGCAACGAAACAUUUGUUUUUAAUUUUGAUGAAAUUGUUUUGAAAAAUUUGGUUAGGCAAUCCCAAUCCGCGACUAUCCACCCACCGCCACCCCACACGGGUGGUUGUUAGUUGCGAAAUGAGGUUGUGGUCGACAUGCCGGUGCAUUUGAGAAGGAGUUCCUAGCAACUCCGUGCUUUCCCAUGCAAAAAAAAAAGCCUAGACAACCCCAUUUCGCAACUUUCCACGCCUUUUUUUUUUUUUCCACCUCACCCAUGGCGGCGGCGUGGUGGCGGCCGGAUUCCGGCCACCACCGCCAUGGGUGGCAGCCCCCCCCCCCGACACAAACCCAUAAUAACGAGGCAACAUAUCGAGGCAACAUGACAUGGGUGUGGCGUGGGGGAAGGGGGCUGCAGCUAGGAAGGCAUGGGCUGCCAUGCAUAUGCAGUCAAC